Heterocephalus glaber (naked mole-rat) is the source of this 111-nucleotide non-coding RNA. The record is from Rfam. Lineage: Eukaryota; Metazoa; Chordata; Mammalia; Rodentia; Bathyergidae.
GUCCAUGGCCAUACUACCCAGAACGCGUCCAAUCUCAUCUGAUCUUGAAAGCUAAGCAGGUUCGGGCCUGGUUAGUACUUGGACAGGAGACACAAUAAAUGUCAGUGGAAA